UACGUAGGGUGCAAGCGUUACUCGGAAUUACUGGGCGUAAAGGGCUCGUAGGCGGCCAACUAAGUCAGACGUGAAAUCCCCAGGCUUAACCUGGGAACUGCGUCUGAUACUGGAUGGCUUGAAUUCGGGAGAGGGAUGCAGAAUUCCAGGUGUAGCGGUGAAAUGCGUAGAUAUCUGGAGGAAUACCGGUGGCGAAGGCGGCAUCCUGGACCGACAUUGACGCUGAUGAGCGAAAGCUAGGGGAGCAAACGGG
This 253-nucleotide ribosomal RNA is filed under the name uncultured bacterium. RNAcentral describes it as "partial 16S ribosomal RNA". It matches the Rfam family "Bacterial small subunit ribosomal RNA", at positions 524 to 776 of the family's 1533-position model. The record is from RNAcentral.